This 195-nucleotide ribosomal RNA is filed under the name uncultured bacterium. RNAcentral's name for it is "partial 16S ribosomal RNA". It matches the Rfam family "Bacterial small subunit ribosomal RNA", at positions 1292 to 1500 of the family's 1533-position model. The record is from RNAcentral.
UUCGGAUUGUAGGCUGAAACUCGCCUACAUGAAGCUGGAAUUGCUAGUAAUCGCAGGUCAGCAUACUGUGGUGAAUACGUUCCCGGGCCUUGUACACACCGCCCGUCACACCAUGAGAGUUGAGAAUACCCGAAGCCCAUGUCAAAGUGGUCGAAGGUAGGCUUGAUGAUUGGGGUGAAGUCGUAACAAGGUAUC